This 368-nucleotide ribosomal RNA is filed under the name Pseudophaeolus soloniensis. RNAcentral's name for it is "eukaryotic LSU rRNA". The stretch from base 1 to 105 matches the Rfam family "5.8S ribosomal RNA", at positions 50 to 154 of the family's 154-position model. The record is from RNAcentral. Lineage: Eukaryota; Fungi; Basidiomycota; Agaricomycetes; Polyporales; Laetiporaceae.
GAAAUGCGAUAAGUAAUGUGAAUUGCAGAAUUCAGUGAAUCAUCGAAUCUUUGAACGCACCUUGCGCUCCUUGGUAUUCCGAGGAGCAUGCCUGUUUGAGUAUCGUGGAAUUCUCAACCUAUUCAUUCUUUUGGUGAAUGGGCUUGGACUUUGGAGGCAUGCUGGUGGACAUCACCACCAGCUCCUCUUGAAUGCAUUAGCUUGGGACCUAUGUGGAUCAGCUAUCGGUGUGAUAAAUGUCUGCACCCCCGCUGAGAAACCUUAACCCUGUGUUUGGGUCACCAGCUUCUAAUCGUCCUUACUGCUAGGACAGAUAUAAUUCCUUGACCUCUGAUCUCAAAUCAGGUAGGACUACCCGCUGAACUUAA